RNAcentral lists this ribosomal RNA (461 nucleotides) under uncultured bacterium. RNAcentral's name for it is "bacterial SSU rRNA". It matches the Rfam family "Bacterial small subunit ribosomal RNA", at positions 339 to 794 of the family's 1533-position model. The record is from RNAcentral.
AUACGGGAGGCAGCAGUCGGGAAUUUUGGGCAAUGGGCGAAAGCCUGACCCAGCAACGCCGCGUGAAGGAUGAAAUCCCUCGGGAUGUAAACUUCGCAAGAACAGGAAGAAUAAGUAAGGGUUAAUAUCCCUUGCGAUGACGGUACUGUUUGUAAGCUCCGGCUAACUCCGUGCCAGCAGCCGCGGUAAUACGGGGGGAGCAAGCGUUGUUCGGAUUUACUGGGCGUAAAGGGCGCGUAGGCGGCCACCGCAAGUCGGUUGUGAAAUCUCUGGGCUUAACUCAGAAAGGUCAACCGAUACUGCGGGGCUAGAGUGCAGAAGGGGCAACUGGAAUUCUCGGUGUAGCGGUGAAAUGCGUAGAUAUCGAGAGGAACACCUGCGGCGAAGGCGGGUUGCUGGGCUGACACUGACGCUGAUGCGCGAAAGCUAGGGGAGCGAACGGGAUUAGAUACCCUGGUAGG